UACAUGUGAGGGGAGUUUCAAAGUACUAUCAAUAAUAUGUACAGUGCAAUUGGGAAUAUGGUGAUAUUUGUGGACAAAACUCCGGCUGGGAACAACAAUCAUGCCAGUGUCAUUUGGGGCUUGACAAACAUGAAUAAUUUCAUAUUUGUAUCCUUCCUUCCUGUCACCCGUCGUGGGUAUGAAUUUGGCCGUAUAAAUACCAGCGACCAGCAAGGUGUUUCAUUCUUUGCAAAUUCUCUUGUUCUCUUCUUUUGCAACUUCUUCGCGUGUACCAUUUGGGAAAACUUUUCCUUCUUGAUAACCCAUUGGCUGUUGCAACAAUAUCCCAAGGUUGACUUGUUCUCAAAUUAUAUACAUACCACCAUCCAUC
RNAcentral lists this small RNA (370 nucleotides) under Histoplasma capsulatum var. duboisii H88. RNAcentral's name for it is "Histoplasma capsulatum H88 hypothetical RNA". Lineage: Eukaryota; Fungi; Ascomycota; Eurotiomycetes; Onygenales; Ajellomycetaceae. The record is from RNAcentral.